CUUCUCCAAGAUAUGAAGGAACUAAAUUUAAAUGCAGUAAGUUCCUUAAAUUUGAACAACUUUUCCCUAGCUGCCCUUCUAUUCCAGGUUCUAUUCUGAAGUUACUGACUUCAUUUUCUCUUGAGCAGGUUCCCAGCCUUGUAACUGUGAAUGCUACGAUGGAGAGAUGCAUGCACAGCCACCUGAAAACCUUCAUUAGCACCUUGACAGGUCUUGACACUUACAGCAAAUUCAUUGCCACAAAAUUGACCACAAUUGACACCUACAGGAACAUCCUCCCCAAAGAUCUGGAUAAGGAAUGUCAGACUGCACAAGUAACAUGGC
Zonotrichia albicollis (white-throated sparrow) is the source of this 324-nucleotide long non-coding RNA. The record is from Ensembl. Lineage: Eukaryota; Metazoa; Chordata; Aves; Passeriformes; Passerellidae.